Molecule: ribosomal RNA, 254 nt
Filed under: uncultured bacterium
Lineage: Bacteria
Description: partial 16S ribosomal RNA
Rfam family: Bacterial small subunit ribosomal RNA
Source: RNAcentral
UACGAGGGGGGCAAGCGUUGUUCGGAUUUAUUGGGCGUAAAGGGUGCGUAGGCGGUUUGGCAAGUCUUGUGUGAAAUCUUUUGGGCUCAACCCAAAGUCUGCAUAAGAAACUGCCGGGCUUGAGUCCGGGAGAGGUGAGUGGAACUGCGAGUGUAGAGGUGAAAUUCGUAGAUAUUCGCAAGAACACCAGUGGCGAAGGCGGCUCACUGGCCCGGUACUGACGCUGAGGUGCGAAAGCGUGGGGAGCAAACAGG